ACGCUCGACACCUACGGGAGGGCAGCAGUGGGGAAUAUUGCACAAUGGGGGAAACCCUGAUGCAGCGACGCCGCGUGGAGGAAGAAGGUCUUCGGAUUGUAAACUCCUGUUGUUGGGGAAAAAGAGGAUGGUACCCAACAAGGAAGUGACGGCUAACUACGUACCAGCAGCCGCGGUAAUCUGAGCGGGCUGGCAAGGC
Molecule: ribosomal RNA, 199 nt
Filed under: uncultured bacterium
Lineage: Bacteria
Description: partial 16S ribosomal RNA
Rfam family: Bacterial small subunit ribosomal RNA
Source: RNAcentral